Molecule: ribosomal RNA, 620 nt
Filed under: uncultured Actinomycetes bacterium
Lineage: Bacteria; Bacillati; Actinomycetota; Actinomycetes
Description: bacterial SSU rRNA
Rfam family: Bacterial small subunit ribosomal RNA
Source: RNAcentral
GGGCGUAAGAGCUCGUAGGCGGUUCAGUAAGUCGGGUGUGAAAACUCUGGGCUUAACCCGGAGACGCCACCCGAUACUGCUGAACUUGAGUUCGGUAGGGGAGCGGGGAAUUCCUGGUGUAGCGGUGAAAUGCGCAGAUAUCAGGAGGAACACCGGUGGCGAAGGCGCCGCUCUGGGCCGAAACUGACGCUGAGGAGCGAAAGCGUGGGUAGCAAACAGGAUUAGAUACCCUGGUAGUCCACGCCGUAAACGUUGGGCACUAGGUGUGGGUUCCAACCAACGGAAUCCGUGCCGUCGCUAACGCAUUAAGUGCCCCGCCUGGGGAGUACGGCCGCAAGGCUAAAACUCAAAGGAAUUGACGGGGCCCCGCACAAGCAGCGGAGCGUGUUGCUUAAUUCGAUGCGACGCGAAGAACCUUACCUGGGCUUGACAUGCAGGGAAAAGCCGUAAAGAUACGGUGUCCUUCGGGGCCUUGCACAGGUGGUGCAUGGCUGUCGUCAGCUCGUGUCGUGGGAUGUUGGGUUAAGUCCCGCAACGAGCGCAACCCUUGUCCUAUGUUGCCAGCGGGUAAUGCCGGGGACUCGUAGGAGACUGUCGGGGUCAACUCGGAGGAAGGUAAU